Molecule: ribosomal RNA, 733 nt
Filed under: uncultured bacterium
Lineage: Bacteria
Description: bacterial SSU rRNA
Rfam family: Bacterial small subunit ribosomal RNA
Source: RNAcentral
GAGUUUGAUCCUGGCUCAGGAUGAACGCUGGCGGCGUGCCUAAUACAUGCAAGUAGAACGCUGAAGCUUGGUGCUUGCACCGAGCGGAUGAGUUGCGAACGGGUGAGUAACGCGUAGGUAACCUGCCUCUUAGCGGGGGAUAACUAUUGGAAACGAUAGCUAAUACCGCAUAAAAGUCGACAUCGCAUGAUGUUGAUUUGAAAGGUGCAAUUGCAUCACUAAGAGAUGGACCUGCGUUGUAUUAGCUAGUUGGUGAGGUAACGGCUCACCAAGGCGACGAUACAUAGCCGACCUGAGAGGGUGAUCGGCCACACUGGGACUGAGACACGGCCCAGACUCCUACGGGAGGCAGCAGUAGGGAAUCUUCGGCAAUGGGGGCAACCCUGACCGAGCAACGCCGCGUGAGUGAAGAAGGUUUUCGGAUCGUAAAGCUCUGUUGUAAGAGAAGAACGAGUGUGAGAGUGGAAAGUUCACACUGUGACGGUAUCUUACCAGAAAGGGACGGCUAACUACGUGCCAGCAGCCGCGGUAAUACGUAGGUCCCGAGCGUUAUCCGGAUUUAUUGGGCGUAAAGCGAGCGCAGGCGGUUAGAUAAGUCUGAAGUUAAAGGCUGUGGCUUAACCAUAGUACGCUUUGGAAACUGUUUAACUUGAGUGCAGAAGGGGAGAGUGGAAUUCCAUGUGUAGCGGUGAAAUGCGUAGAUAUAUGGAGGAACACCGGUGGCGAAAGCGGC